Molecule: ribosomal RNA, 464 nt
Filed under: uncultured bacterium
Lineage: Bacteria
Description: partial 16S ribosomal RNA
Rfam family: Bacterial small subunit ribosomal RNA
Source: RNAcentral
ACGAACGCUGGCGGCGUGCUUAACACAUGCAAGUCGAACGGAAAGGCCCUGCUUGCAGGGUACUCGAGUGGCGAACGGGUGAGUAACACGUGGGUGAUCUGCCCUGCACUUCGGGAUAAGCCUGGGAAACUGGGUCUAAUACCGGAUAGGAGCCAUUUUUAGUGUGAUGGUUGGAAAGUUUUUUCGGUGUAGGAUGAGCUCGCGGCCUAUCAGCUUGUUGGUGGGGUAAUGGCCUACCAAGGCGGCGACGGGUAGCCGGCCUGAGAGGGUGGACGGCCACAUUGGGACUGAGAUACGGCCCAGACUCCUACGGGAGGCAGCAGUGGGGAAUAUUGCACAAGGGGCGCAAGCCUGAUGCAGCGACGCCGCGUGGGGGAUGACGGCCUUCGGGUUGUAAACUCCUUUCGCUAGGGACGAAGCUUUUUGUGACGGUACCUAGAUAAGAAGCACCGGCUAACUACGUG